CUGAAAUUCGCCUUCAUGAAGCCGGAAUUGCUAGUAAUGGCAGGUCAGCAUACUGCCGUGAAUACGUUCCCGGGCCUUGUACACACCGCCCGUCACACCAUGAGAGUUGGGAAUACCCGAAGCCUGUGAGCCAACAGUAACUGAGGCAGCAGUCGAAGGUAGAAUCAAUGAUUGGGGUGAAGUCGUAACAAGGUAAC
Molecule: ribosomal RNA, 197 nt
Filed under: uncultured bacterium
Lineage: Bacteria
Description: partial 16S ribosomal RNA
Rfam family: Bacterial small subunit ribosomal RNA
Source: RNAcentral